Molecule: ribosomal RNA, 253 nt
Filed under: uncultured bacterium
Lineage: Bacteria
Description: partial 16S ribosomal RNA
Rfam family: Bacterial small subunit ribosomal RNA
Source: RNAcentral
UACGUAGGGGGCGAGCGUUGUCCGGAAUCAUUGGGCGUAAAGAGCGUGUAGGCGGCUUGGCAAGUCGGGGGUGAAAGUCAGCGGCUCAACCGCUGGACUGCCUUCGAGACUGCCUGGCUUGAGCAUGGUAGAGGCUGGCGGAAUUCCCGGUGUAGCGGUGGAAUGCGUAGAGAUCGGGAAGAACAUCGGUGGCGAAGGCGGCCAGCUGGGCCAUUGCUGACGCUGAGGCGCGACAGCGUGGGGAGCAAACAGG